This 292-nucleotide ribosomal RNA is filed under the name uncultured bacterium. RNAcentral's name for it is "partial 16S ribosomal RNA". The record is from RNAcentral.
GGACUACAAGGGUUUCUAAUCCGGAUCGCUCCCCACGCUUUCGCUCCUGAGUGUCAGGACCAGUCCAGGAUGCCGCCUUCGCCGCUGGUGUUCCUCCGGAUCUCUACGCAUUCCACCACUACACCCGGAAUUCCGCAUCCCCCUACUGGCCUCCAGUUCGACCGUAUCGCACGACCCUCCCCAGUUGAGCCGGGGUCUUUCACGCACGACGCAUCGAACCACCUGCGAGCGCUUUACGCCCAAUAAAUCCGGACAACGCUUGCCCCCUACGUAUUACCGCGGCUGCUGGCAC